AGAGGGAAAGCGAACCCAGGCAUUCUUCAUCAGCUCUGAUUUAAUGGCUUCCCCUGGGAAGCAGAGCUGAUCACUUCUGUUCAGAUUUCUUUGGUUCAAAGAAGUCACAUGACCACCCCAACUCCAAGGGGUGGGGGCUGCCCAAUUCUUUUCUGGAGAGAGGGGCUGGUGAGCCAGCUACACAAACCGAGAUGGAGCCCAUCUGCAAGAGAGACAUUCAUGAACAUCAAAGAAGAACUUCCUAGAAUUGAUCCGUGGUCCUUACACCCCCAACUCCAGCCUGGCACUGAAGGAGGAUGGCUCUCAAAACCUGCUGAUUGGAUGGCAGGGCUUCCUGCUUCAGCAAGAGGAAACCUCAGACAGAGUGGGAUACAGGGACACAGGUGGCAUCUGCG
This 395-nucleotide long non-coding RNA is filed under the name Fukomys damarensis (Damara mole-rat). RNAcentral describes it as "lncRNA (ENSFDAG00000025487.1)". The record is from RNAcentral. Lineage: Eukaryota; Metazoa; Chordata; Mammalia; Rodentia; Bathyergidae.